Long non-coding RNA from Oncorhynchus keta (chum salmon), 3303 nucleotides. RefSeq lists it as uncharacterized. The transcript has 4 exons. Lineage: Eukaryota; Metazoa; Chordata; Actinopteri; Salmoniformes; Salmonidae. The record is from RefSeq and is a predicted model, not a curated record.
UCUCUGUCUGUCUGUCAGACUGCCGACCAGCCCUAUCAGGAGGCCUUUACUGAUGAGCUGGAGUCCUUUAAAGAGAGAGUUCGAGGCAGAGCUAAGAUCAGGAUACAAAAGGUCAUUUUACCUCCAUUUUGUUUUUCUCUUUUGCUUCAGGUGUUUAAAGGUGUUUUUAUGGAAGUGGGAGAAGUUCAGAGCGAUAUUGAAUCCAAAAACAUUCUGACGUUCACACUUUUCUGGGCCUGAUGAACCGAAUACUAAAAUACAUAGAUACAGCUGAAGUCAGAAGUUUACAUACACUUAGGUUGGAGUCAUUAAAACUGGUUUACAUACACUUAGGUUGGAGUCAUUAAAACUAGUUUACACACACUUAGGUUGGAGUCAUUAAAACUAGUUUACAUACACUUAGGUUGGAGUCAUUAAAACUAGUUUACAUACACUUAGGUUGGAGUCAUUAAAACUAGUUUACACACACUUAGGUUGGAGUCAUUAAAACUAGUUUACAUACACUUAGGUUGGAGUCAUUAAAACUAGUUUACACACACUUAGGUUGGAGUCAUUAAAACUAGUUUACAUACACUUAGGUUGGAGUCAUUAAAACUAGUUUACAUACACUUAGGUUGGAGUCAUUAAAACUAGUUUACACACACUUAGGUUGGAGUCAUUAAAACUAGUUUACAUACACUUAGGUUGGAGUCAUUAAAACUAGUUUACAUACACUUAGGUUGGAGUCAUUAAAACUAGUUUACACACACUUAGGUUGGAGUCAUUAAAACUAGUUUACAUACACUUAGGUUGGAGUCAUUAAAACUAGUUUACAUACACUUAGGUUGGAGUCAUUAAAACUAGUUUACAUACACUUAGGUUGGAGUCAUUAAAACUGGUUUACAUACACUUAGGUUGGAGUCAUUAAAACUAGUUUACAUACACUUAGGUUGGAGUCAUUAAAACUAGUUUACAUACACUUAGGUUGGAGUCAUUAAAACUAGUUUACAUACACUUAGGUUGGAGUCAUUAAAACUAGUUUACAUACACUUAGGUUGGAGUCAUUAAAACUAAUUUACACACACUUAGGUUGGAGUCAUUAAAACUAGUUUACAUACACUUAGGUUGGAGUCAUUAAAACUAGUUUACAUACACUUAGGUUGGAGUCAUUAAAACUAAUUUACACACACUUAGGUUGGAGUCAUUAAAACUAGUUUACAUACACUUAGGUUGGAGUCAUUAAAACUCGUUUACAUACACUUAGGUUGGAGUCAUUAAAACUAGUUUACAUACACUUAGGUUGGAGUCAUUAAAACUAAUUUACACACACUUAGGUUGGAGUCAUUAAAACUAGUUUACAUACACUUAGGUUGGAGUCAUUAAAACUAAUUUACACACACUUAGGUUGGAGUCAUUAAAACUAGUUUACAUACACUUAGGUUGGAGUCAUUAAAACUAAUUUACAUACACUUAGGUUGGAGUCAUUAAAACUAAUUUACACACACUUAGGUUGGAGUCAUUAAAACUAGUUUACAUACACUUAGGUUGGAGUCAUUAAAACUAAUUUACACACACUUAGGUUGGAGUCAUUAAAACUAGUUUACAUACACUUAGGUUGGAGUCAUUAAAACUAGUUUACAUACACUUAGGUUGGAGUCAUUAAAACUAAUUUACACACACUUAGGUUGGAGUCAUUAAAACUAAUUUACACACACUUAGGUUGGAGUCAUUAAAACUAGUUUACAUACACUUAGGUUGGAGUCAUUAAAACUAGUUUACAUACACUUAGGUUGGAGUCAUUAAAACUCGUUUACAUACACUUAGGUUGGAGUCAUUAAAACUCGUUUACAUACACUUAGGUUGGAGUCAUUAAAACUAGUUUACAUACACUUAGGUUGGAGUCAUUAAAACUAGUUUACAUACACUUAGGUUGGAGUCAUUAAAACUCGUUUUUCAACCACUCCACAAAUUUCUUGUUAACAAACUAUAGUUUUGGCAAGUCGGUUAGGACAUCUACUUUGUGCAUGACACAAGUCAUUUUUCCAACAAUUGUUUACAGAUUAUUUCACUUGACUCACUGUAUCACAAUUCCAGUGGGUCAGAAGUUUACAUCCACUAAGUUGACUGUGGAUGUAUUUCAAGGCCUACCUUCAAACUCAGUGCCUCUUUGCUUGACAUCAAGGGGAAAUCAGCCAAGACCCCAGAAAAAAGAAUUGUGGACCUCCACAAGUCUGCUUCAUCCUUGGGAGAAAUUUCCAAACGCCUGAAGGUACCACGUUCAUCUGUACAAACAAUAGUACACAAGUAUAAACACCGUGGGACCAUGCAGCCGUCAUACCGCUCAGGAAGGAGACGCGUUCUGUCUCCUAGAGAUGAACGUACUAUGAUGCGAAAAGAGCAACUCAAUCCCAGAACAACAGCAAAUGACCUUGUGAUGAUUCUGGAGGAAACGGGUACAAAAAGUAUCCACAGUAAAACGAGUCCUAUAUCGACAUAACCUGAAAGGCCGCUCAGCAAGGAAGAAGCCACUGCUCCAAAACUCGUACUUUUUGAAGAAAUGUCCUCUGGUCUGAUGAAACUGUUUGGCCAUAAUGACCAUCGUUAUGUUUGAAGGAAAAAGGGAGAGGCUUGCAAGCUGAAGAACACCAUCCCAACCGUGAAGCACGGGGGUGGCAGCAUAAUAUAAUAAUAAUAUAUAAUAAUAUAUGCCAUUUAGCAGACGCUUUUAUCCAAAGCGACUUACAUUCAUGUGUGCAUACAUUCUACGUAUGGGUGGUCCCGGGAAUCGAACCCACUACCCUGGCGUUACAAGCGCCAUGCUCUACCAACUGAGCUACAGAAGGACAUGCACAGCAUCAUGCUGUGGGGGUGCUUUGCUGCAGGAGGGACUGGUGCACUUCACAAAAUAGAUGGCAUCAUGGGGCUGGAAAAUUAUGUGGAUAUAUUGAAGCAACAUCUCAAGACAUCAGUCAGGAAGUUAAAGCUUGGUCGCAAAUGGGUCUUUCAAAUUACAUUUACAUUUAAGUCAUUUAGCAGACGCUCUUAUCCAGAGCGACUUACAAAUUGGAUGGACAAUGACCCCAAGCAUUGUUCCAAAACGGUGACAACAUGGCUUAAGGACAAAGUCAAAGUAGUGGAGUGGCCAUCAAAGCCCUGACCUCAAUCCUACAGAACAUUUGUGGGCAGAACUGAUAAAAGUGUGUGCGAGCAAGGAGGCCUACAAAACCUGACUCAGUUACACCAGCUCUGUCAGGAGGAAUGGGCCAAAAUUCACCCAACUUAUUGUGGGAAGCUUGUGGAAGGCUCCCCGAAACGUUUGACCCA